This 528-nucleotide ribosomal RNA is filed under the name uncultured bacterium. RNAcentral describes it as "bacterial SSU rRNA". It matches the Rfam family "Bacterial small subunit ribosomal RNA", at positions 777 to 1304 of the family's 1533-position model. The record is from RNAcentral.
AAUAGAUACCCGGUAGUCCACGCCGUAAACGAUGAGUGCUAAGUGUUAGAGGGUUUCCGCCCUUUAGUGCUGCAGCUAACGCAUUAAGCACUCCGCCUGGGGAGUACGGUCGCAAGACUGAAACUCAAAGGAAUUGACGGGGGCCCGCACAAGCGGUGGAGCAUGUGGUUUAAUUCGAAGCAACGCGAAGAACCUUACCAGGUCUUGACAUCCUCUGACAACUCUAGAGAUAGAGCGUUCCCCUUCGGGGGACAGAGUGACAGGUGGUGCAUGGUUGUCGUCAGCUCGUGUCGUGAGAUGUUGGGUUAAGUCCCGCAACGAGCGCAACCCUUGAUCUUAGUUGCCAGCAUUUAGUUGGGCACUCUAAGGUGACUGCCGGUGACAAACCGGAGGAAGGUGGGGAUGACGUCAAAUCAUCAUGCCCCUUAUGACCUGGGCUACACACGUGCUACAAUGGAUGGUACAAAGGGCUGCAAGACCGCGAGGUCAAGCCGAUCCCAUAAAACCAUUCUCAGUUCGGAUUGUAGG